RNAcentral lists this ribosomal RNA (429 nucleotides) under uncultured bacterium. Its description in RNAcentral is "bacterial SSU rRNA". It matches the Rfam family "Bacterial small subunit ribosomal RNA", at positions 355 to 776 of the family's 1533-position model. The record is from RNAcentral.
UCGAGGAUCAUUCGCAAUGCGCGAAAGCGUGACGAUGCGACGCCGCGUGGGGGAUGAAGGCCUUCGGGUUGUAAACCCCUGUCAUGCGGGAGCAAUGUUCUAUCGGUAAUACUGGUAGAGCGUGAUAGUACCGCAAGAGGAAGCCACGGCUAACUCUGUGCCAGCAGCCGCGGUAAUACAGAGGUGGCAAGCGUUGUUCGGAUUUACUGGGCGUAAAGGGUGCGUAGGUGGUUCAGUGUGUCGGGUGUUAAAUUUCGCCGCUUAACGGCGAACGGUCGCUCGAAACUGCUGAACUAGAGUGUAGGAGAGGAAAGCGGAAUUCUUGGUGUAGCGGUGGAAUGCGUUGAUAUCAAGAGGAACACCAGUGGCGAAGGCGGCUUUCUGGAAUACAACUGACACUUAGGCACGAAAGUUGGGGUAGCAAACAGG